AACGCACAUUGCGCCCGCCAGUAUUCUGGCGGGCAUGCCUGUUCGAGCGUCAUUUCAACCCUCAAGCCCAGCUUGGUGUUGGGGCAUUGCGGCUUGCCGCAAGUCCUGAAAAACAGUGGCGGGCUCGCUAUAACUCCGAGCGUAGUAACUUAUCUCGUUCUGGAAGAGUGGCGGGUGCCGGCCGUUAAACCCCCUAUUUUACAAGGUUGACCUCGGAUCAGGUAGGAAUACCCGCUGAACUUAA
This 244-nucleotide unclassified non-coding RNA is filed under the name uncultured fungus. Its description in RNAcentral is "sequence contains ITS2". The stretch from base 1 to 52 matches the Rfam family "5.8S ribosomal RNA", at positions 103 to 154 of the family's 154-position model. The record is from RNAcentral. Lineage: Eukaryota; Fungi.